UCCAAAACAAAUAUUCUCAUCAUGUCCCUUCCAUUAUAUUUACACCAACCCUAAAGGCUAAGCUAGCUACACAUAUAUAGUCACAUACAUUAAUUUGUCACCAUUAAAAAACAUGUAGUACUACUUCUUUUAUAACAAUCACAUUUUCAAGAUUCCAUUUGAAUUUUCACCAAUCCUUUCUUUGAAAAAAAAAAAUAACUUACUCAGCUCAGUUCUGAUCGAAUAUUGUAUGAUAUGAAAUAAUAAUGACUUGUAAUUGUUUUGUAGUGAAAGGGGAUGUUUUUUUGUUUCUUGUCUUGAUGCUAAAUGUGGGGGCUCAUUGCUCCUUGUCCCACUCUCUUUAUAUGUAUAAGAAC
This 356-nucleotide long non-coding RNA is filed under the name Capsella rubella. RNAcentral describes it as "long non-coding RNA (CRUB_LNC004358)". The record is from RNAcentral. Lineage: Eukaryota; Viridiplantae; Streptophyta; Magnoliopsida; Brassicales; Brassicaceae.